RNAcentral lists this ribosomal RNA (119 nucleotides) under Pteropus alecto (black flying fox). The record is from RNAcentral. Lineage: Eukaryota; Metazoa; Chordata; Mammalia; Chiroptera; Pteropodidae.
GUCUAAAGCCAUUCCACCCUGAACAAGCCCGAUCCCGUCUGAUCUCAGAAGCUAAGCAGGGUCGGGCCUGGUUGGUAUUUGAAUGACAGACCACCUAGGAAGACUAGGUGCUGUAGGCG